UCGCCCGUCGCUUCAUCGAAGUUGGUUUCAGGCGAGGUGGUGCGAUAUUGGCAUUAUCGAACCUGAGAUCAGCAACGAGGGAG
RNAcentral lists this ribosomal RNA (83 nucleotides) under uncultured bacterium. RNAcentral's name for it is "partial 16S ribosomal RNA". The record is from RNAcentral.